RNAcentral lists this long non-coding RNA (958 nucleotides) under Mytilus galloprovincialis (Mediterranean mussel). The record is from RNAcentral. Lineage: Eukaryota; Metazoa; Mollusca; Bivalvia; Mytilida; Mytilidae.
UGAUGCAAUCUUCUCCACUUUUAUAUGUUAUUUGAGCUAUGUCAUAUGAAGAUCUCCUUAGCAAGUGAUAUGUAUAGAAUUCAAUUUGACCUUGAAUGCCACAUUCAAUUGAUGAUCAUGUAUUUAUCACAUGUAAACUGUGAUUUUGUUCAAGCUCAAGAGGUUUCUGGAAUAUAACUGUUUGGGUAAUUUGUCUUUUCCUACUACCAGUAGUUCUUUAAAUUAUAAUUCACAACAGUUGCAAUGUUAAGUCCAAUGACACCCAGUGGCAUGGGAGAAGACUAAAAAGAAUUCUGAAAGUGGCAACGUCUAAAGUCUAAUAGUCUAAGUAAGUACAUGUCCUCUUUCUUUUUCAUUUUUUAUUCUCAAUACAAGAAGAAUUGGAAAAAACAAUAGUCUUGCUCCUAGUUUCUAUGACUCUCUUUACACUACUGCUACACAUGUGCAGAUGCUUUUUUUAGUUGGUUUUGAAACCAACAAAAGAUUUUCAAAGUUAUUUCUCUUGAUUUCAUUAUAUCGAUCUACUUUAAAUGAAAAUAAAAUCUACUUAUGAUAAAUUUUGCAUGAAGGUUGAUCUUGAUGUGCCAUAGCUCACUAGAAACCUUUAGAUAAGGUUGUAUUAUGUGCCAUAUAGAAAUAUGUCUUCCAUCUCAUUGAUGGUGCUUACAUGCUACUGCUUUUAUACAAAAUUAUAUACUUAAUUAUUGAAUGGGUUUGCCCCAUCCAUCUGAUGUUCAUUUUAUAUUUUUGAGUUUUGAAGUAUUAACUUGGAGGUUUUUCACAGAUUUGAAUGGAACUGCACAACAAAAGUCUAUUUCUUAUGUUCUGACAAGGAAUAUAAUUAUAAUGUAGAUGUUAUUAUUUUAUGUUGACUAUAUUUUAUUUACCAUUCCACAUCACUCUAUCAACUUGAUACUUUACUUUAUUCCAUGCUUAAAUUUUUGAAUUAUGACAUAUA